UCAAGAUUUAAACCUGUCAUCCUUGACAUUUGGGGCAGAAACUGCUGAAAUGAAGGAGGACUUGCCAUCAAAGAACUGGCUGAAAGGAGUUAGCACACCACUCCUCUGCCCUGAACAGUUCUAAGCAAGAGGAGGAGCCUGUGGCAGGGCGUGAUAUGAAGUCCUCAGAGAUAGAGUGCCAAGAGUAGAGGGAGUAUCCUGGAACUUCAGUGUUUGCAGAAAAAUUCUUCUGGGGAAUAAAGCAUAGAGAAAUGAAGAGCUAAGAUACAGAGGAGCUUCCCAAGACCAUGUUUGAACAUUUGUAAACAGCCAUGCCUGGACUUCUGAGUUAAACGAUGAUUAUACAAAGGCUGAUACAGAGCACCCAUGUGGAGGGGUCACAGAAGUGACUUGCUGCUUCAAGCUGACCUCUGAAGCGAGUAUACACAGGCCACUUGUACAUUCUUCAUCAAAUCAUUAAGAAGUCAAAUGAAAAUGACCAACCACUGUCUCUGACAUUUAUUAUAUAUAUGAAAGGCAUUUAGGAGAUGUAAAGACCAGGCAAUUGUGAAACAACUAUAAAGAUGCAAGACUGAAAGCCUCAAGAGUGACAUUCAGCUGCUCAGUUAUGCCAGCAAAAUGGAUUAGUAGAAGAUUCUAAGUUAUGGUGACUGAGUGAAGGAGAUGAUUGCUGGAAGAAUUAAAGCUGGCUGUCUGGAAGGAAUUUAGGAAGACGUAGUGGUUAUAUAAUACUGAAAUCCUAGGAAACUGGAGAGUAUGUAUUCUUGGCUUAUCAUUUAUUUCUGUUUGGAAAUGAUGGGGCAUUAUGAAGCUUUCCUAGAAGUUCCUAAAGGAGAAGUCAAGCAGCAGACACAUCUUCAUAAUGAUUCAGAAGACCUUCAGCUUACGGAGUGAAGCUUUACUGUGAACGGAGAGUAUUAUGCAGACAUAGCCUGCAGAGGAACUGCUGGGCAGAUUGGUGUCCAUAUGAAUUCCUUUGGCAAGAUGUACUAAAAGUUCUGGACUUGUGAAGUUAAAAUCUGGUAACAAAUGAGCUUAAUGAAUCAGAGAGAUGCAAACUUCAGCUGCAUGUGUAUGGGACGUGUCCUGUUAACAUUGAGAAUUACUCUUGGUUUAUGAUACUGCAAAAGUGCAGCUAAGCCAGACCAUAACUCUAGUGCCUCUGAUCAGGGCAAAAUUAGGGUUAAAUAGAACAAGGUUCUAUGGUGAGUAAGAUGAACCAAAAGACUCAUGGUAUCAGUUUUUAAAAUGAUUUCUCUCUUUCUUGCUCUUGGGCUUAUUUGCAUUUCCAUAAUUCCUUAAUCCCAGAAUAAAUUUAUUUUUUAAAAUAUAA
RNAcentral lists this long non-coding RNA (1333 nucleotides) under Homo sapiens (human). RNAcentral describes it as "HSALNT0307969". The record is from RNAcentral. Lineage: Eukaryota; Metazoa; Chordata; Mammalia; Primates; Hominidae.